GGGUCAGCAGUUCACCCAGGCGUCACCGCCCCGCAAGGGGAGCUAAACCUGAAU
RNAcentral lists this non-coding RNA (54 nucleotides) under unclassified sequences. Its description in RNAcentral is "COG3860 RNA". It matches the Rfam family "COG3860 RNA". The record is from RNAcentral.